RNAcentral lists this long non-coding RNA (249 nucleotides) under Elaeis guineensis (African oil palm). Its description in RNAcentral is "long non-coding RNA (EGUI_LNC049824)". The record is from RNAcentral. Lineage: Eukaryota; Viridiplantae; Streptophyta; Magnoliopsida; Arecales; Arecaceae.
CUAAACCGAUCGAUGUUUGAUUAACUAUUAAUUUAUGCAUGAUACUUUGAAAGGCUAUGCAAGGCUACUUGUCCCGAUAAUUCUUUUCCAAAAUUCCUAAAGAAAGUUAUUGGAACAAGAAAGAGUUAUUUAUAUAGAUAACUUCGACAACCACAAAGAAGGAGGUUAUAAAGGCAAGAAAUCAUUAAGAGAGAAUAUAUGUUGUUGCAAAAAGUAGCUGCUUUUUUAACUUAUCCAAAAAAGAAAGAA